RNAcentral lists this ribosomal RNA (479 nucleotides) under uncultured bacterium. Its description in RNAcentral is "bacterial SSU rRNA". It matches the Rfam family "Bacterial small subunit ribosomal RNA", at positions 22 to 518 of the family's 1533-position model. The record is from RNAcentral.
GGUCAGGACGAACGCUGGCGGCGUGCCUAACACAUGCAAGUCGAGCGAGGAGAUCCUUCGGGAUGAUCCUAGCGGCGGACGGGUGAGUAACACGUGGGCAACCUGCCUCAUAGAGAGGAAUAGCCUUCCGAAAGGGAGAUUAAUACCUCAUAACAUUGCAGUUUCGCAUGGAACAGCAAUUAAAGGAGCAAUCCACUAUGAGAUGGGCCCGCGGCGCAUUAGCUAGUUGGUGAGGUAACGGCUCACCAAGGCGACGAUGCGUAGCCGACCUGAGAGGGUGAUCGGCCACAUUGGGACUGAGACACGGCCCAGACUCCUACGGGAGGCAGCAGUGGGGAAUAUUGCACAAUGGGGGAAACCCUGAUGCAAGCAACGCCGCGUGAGUGAUGACGGCCUUCGGGUUGUAAAGCUCUGUCUUCAGGGACGAUAAUGACGGUACCUGAGGAGGAAGCCACGGCUAACUACGUGCCAGCAGCCGC